AGGACGAACGCUGGCGGCGUGCUUAACACAUGCAAGUCGAGCGGAAAGGCCCUUCGGGGUACUCGAGCGGCGAACGGGUGAGUAACACGUGAGCAAUCUGCCCUUAGCUUCGGGAUAGCUCCGGGAAACCGGAAUUAAUACCGAAUACGACUACGGCCGACAUCGGCUGUGGUGGAAAGUUUUUCGGCUAGGGAUGAGCUCGCGGCCUAUCAGCUUGUUGGUGAGGUAACGGCUCACCAAGGCGACGACGGGUAGCCGG
Molecule: ribosomal RNA, 259 nt
Filed under: uncultured bacterium
Lineage: Bacteria
Description: partial small subunit ribosomal RNA
Rfam family: Bacterial small subunit ribosomal RNA
Source: RNAcentral